RNAcentral lists this long non-coding RNA (595 nucleotides) under Mustela putorius furo (domestic ferret). RNAcentral's name for it is "lncRNA (ENSMPUG00000025825.1)". The record is from RNAcentral. Lineage: Eukaryota; Metazoa; Chordata; Mammalia; Carnivora; Mustelidae.
AGGGAAGCCAGAUCAAAUUAAAUUGGCCUCCAAUCUCCACAGGUUUGCCCACCAUCCAGGACACCCUGAGAGAAGCGCCUCGAGGCUGCAUAGAAAGGAAGAAGUCAGGCUCCAAACAGAGACGUUCCUUGGAGAGUUGGAGGAGAUUCCUUAAACUGCGAACUGCGGAUGCUUCCUUGUGCUUGUUACUGGGGCCGCCCACCAUCAGUUUCUACAGUGGGAUUAGCAGACCUCCAGGACACCUGGACGAGGAGGCGCCUCUCUCUCCGCCUCAGAGGUGUGAAUAGUAACUGAUUUUGUUGUUUCAUUUAUCAGAGAGAGUGCACGCACAGCAGGCAGCUGGAGAAGGAGGCUCUCUGCUGAGCAAGGAACCCAACAUAGGACUCAACCCCAGGACCCUGGGAUCAUGACCUGAACUGAAGGCAGACGCUUAUCCAACUGAGCCACCCAGCCAUCCCAUCAACAAAUAUUAUUCCUAAUGGUGAAAUGCUAAGAGCAUCCCAUUUAAAGUCAGUAACAAGACCAGGAAAAAUAUUCAAAUGCAAAUCAUCCUAAUUACCAGGAACAGACAAAAAAUGUAAUAAAAAAAAAAAAC